UUGACGGGCCCGCACAAGCAGCGGAGCGUGUGGUUUAAUUCGUUGCUACACGAAGAACCUUACCUGGGUUUGACAUGCAAGUGGUAGGAAGCCGAAAGGUGACCGACCCUUCGGGGAGCUUGCACAGGUGCUGCAUGGCUGUCGUCAGCUCGUGUCGUGAGAUGUUCGGUUAAGUCCGCUAACGAGCGCAACCCUCGCUGUGUGUUAUAUGUGUCACACGGGACUGCCGGUCUUAAGCCGGAGGAAGGUGGGAUGAUGUCAAGUCAGCAUGGCCUUUAUAUCCUGGGCUACACACACGCUACAAUGGCCAACACAAUAGGUUGCUAAGCCGCGAGGUGGCGCCAAUCCAUAAAGUUGGUCUCAGUUCAGAUUGUAGGCUGCAACCCGCCUGCAUGAAGAUGGAGUUGCUAGUAACCGCAGGUCAGUUAUACUGCGGUGAAUACGUUCCCGGGGCUU
RNAcentral lists this ribosomal RNA (456 nucleotides) under uncultured Leptolinea sp. Its description in RNAcentral is "bacterial SSU rRNA". It matches the Rfam family "Bacterial small subunit ribosomal RNA", at positions 910 to 1382 of the family's 1533-position model. Lineage: Bacteria; Bacillati; Chloroflexota; Anaerolineae; Anaerolineales; Anaerolineaceae. The record is from RNAcentral.